UGCUCGCCUACUUGGAAGCUUCUCUCGUGCUUGACCUCUUUGACCAGCCGCUCGCCAGCAGGUGCAGCCGUGCAGGUAAAGAUGGCAGCGGCCGUGGUGCCCGCGGAUACUACCUUCUUACGUCCGCGCUAGCUAGCUAAGGAAGUUUAGCAAGUGUGAUAUCGGAUGUUUGAAUAUUAAUUAAAAAUAUUAAAUAUAU
RNAcentral lists this long non-coding RNA (199 nucleotides) under Setaria italica (foxtail millet). RNAcentral describes it as "long non-coding RNA (SITA_LNC006769)". The record is from RNAcentral. Lineage: Eukaryota; Viridiplantae; Streptophyta; Magnoliopsida; Poales; Poaceae.